RNAcentral lists this ribosomal RNA (492 nucleotides) under uncultured bacterium. RNAcentral's name for it is "partial 16S ribosomal RNA". It matches the Rfam family "Bacterial small subunit ribosomal RNA", at positions 29 to 507 of the family's 1533-position model. The record is from RNAcentral.
AGUGAACGCUGGCGGUAGGCCUAACACAUGCAAGUCGAACGGCAGCACAGUAAGAGCUUGCUCUUACGGGUGGCGAGUGGCGGACGGGUGAGGAAUACAUCGGAAUCUACUUUUUCGUGGGGGAUAACGUAGGGAAACUUACGCUAAUACCGCAUACGACCUACGGGUGAAAGCAGGGGAUCUUCGGACCUUGCGCGAUUGAAUGAGCCGAUGUCGGAUUAGCUAGUUGGCGGGGUAAAGGCCCACCAAGGCGACGAUCCGUAGCUGGUCUGAGAGGAUGAUCAGCCACACUGGAACUGAGACACGGUCCAGACUCCUACGGGAGGCAGGAGUUGGGAAUAUUGGACAAAGGGGGCAAGCCUGAUCCAGCCAUACCGCGUGGGUGAAGAAGGCCUUCGGGUUUUAAAGCCCUUUUGUUGGGAAAGAAAAGCAGCAGGUUAAUACCCCGCUGUUCUGACGGUACCCAAAGAAUAAGCACCGGCUAACUUCGUG